UACCGAGGUCUCAAGCGUUGUUCGGAUUCAUUGGGCGUAAAGGGUGUGUAGGUGGCGCCGUAAGUCGGGUGUGAAAUUUCGGAGCUUAACUCCGAAACUGCAUUCGAUACUGCGGUGCUUGAGGACUGGAGAGGAUGGUGGAAUUCCCAGUGUAGAGGUGAAAUUCGUAGAUAUUGGGAAGAACACCGAUGGCGAAGGCAGCCAUCUGGACCGACACUGACGCUGAGGCGCGAAAGCGUGGGGAGCAAACAGG
This 253-nucleotide ribosomal RNA is filed under the name uncultured bacterium. Its description in RNAcentral is "partial 16S ribosomal RNA". It matches the Rfam family "Bacterial small subunit ribosomal RNA", at positions 524 to 776 of the family's 1533-position model. The record is from RNAcentral.